CACGUAGGGGGCAAGCGUUGUCCGGAUUUAUUGGGCGUAAAGAGCGUGUAGGCGGCCCGGUAAGUCCGCUGUGAAAGUCGGGGGCUCAACCCUCGAAUGCCGGUGGAUACUGUCGGGCUAGAGUGCGGAAGAGGCGAGUGGAAUUCCUGGGUGAUGAGCGGUGAAAUGCGCAGAUAUCAGGAGGAACACCAAUUGCGAAGGCAGCUCGCUGGGACGUAACUGACGCUGGAGACGCGAAAGCGUGGGGAGCAAACAGG
Molecule: ribosomal RNA, 257 nt
Filed under: uncultured bacterium
Lineage: Bacteria
Description: partial 16S ribosomal RNA
Rfam family: Bacterial small subunit ribosomal RNA
Source: RNAcentral